RNAcentral lists this ribosomal RNA (497 nucleotides) under uncultured bacterium. RNAcentral describes it as "partial 16S ribosomal RNA". It matches the Rfam family "Bacterial small subunit ribosomal RNA", at positions 28 to 507 of the family's 1533-position model. The record is from RNAcentral.
GAUGAACGCUGGCGGCGUGCCUAAUACAUGCAAGUCGAGCGAACAGACGAGGAGCUUGCUCCUCUGACGUUAGCGGCGGACGGGUGAGUAACACGUGGAUAACCUACCUAUAAGACUGGGAUAACUUCGGGAAACCGGAGCUAAUACCGGAUAAUAUAUUGAACCGCAUGGUUCAAUAGUGAAAGACGGUUUUGCUGUAACUUAUAGAUGGAUCCGCGCCGCAUUAGCUAGUUGGUAAGGUAACGGCUUACCAAGGCAACGAUGCGUAGCCGACCUGAGAGGGUGAUCGGCCACCCUGGAACUGGGACACGGUCCAGACCCCUACGGGAGGCAGCAGUAGGGAAUCUUCCGCAAUGGGCGAAAGCCUGACGGAGCAACGCCGCGUGAGUGAUGAAGGUCUUCGGAUCGUAAAACUCUGUUAUUAGGGAAAAACAAAUGUGUAAGUAACUAUGCACGUCUUGACGGUACCUAAUCAGAAAGCCACGGCUAACUACGUG